UGGGGAAUCUUGCACAAUGGGGGAAACCCUGAUGCAGCGACGCCGCGUGAACGAUGAAGCCCUUCGGGGUGUAAAGUUCUUUCGACAGGAACGAUAAUGACGGUACCUGGAGAAGAAGCUGCGGCUAACUACGUGCCAGCAGCCGCGGUAAUACGUAGGCAGCGAGCGUUGUUCGGAGUUACUGGGCGUAAAGAGUGCGUAGGCGGCGAGCCAAGUUUGGUGUGAAAUCUCCCGGCUUAACCGGGAGGGUGCGCCGAAAACUGGUUGGCUGGAGUAUGGGAGAGGAAAGCGGAAUUCCUGGUGUAGCGGUGAAAUGCGUAGAUAUCAGGAGGAACACCUGCGGUGUAGACAGCUUUCUGGACCAAAACUGACGCUGAGGCACGAAAGCGUGGGUAGCAAAC
This 401-nucleotide ribosomal RNA is filed under the name uncultured bacterium. RNAcentral's name for it is "bacterial SSU rRNA". It matches the Rfam family "Bacterial small subunit ribosomal RNA", at positions 355 to 773 of the family's 1533-position model. The record is from RNAcentral.